CAGCCGCCGCGGUAAUACCGGCGGCCCGAGUGGCGGUCACUCUUAUUGGGCUUAAAGCGUCCGUAGCCGGGUUGGGAAGUCCUCCGGGAAAUCUGGCCGCUUAACGGUCAGAAUGCCGGAGGAUACUCCCAGCCUAGGGAGCGGGAGAGGCCGAGGGUAUUCCCGGAGUAGGGGUGAAAUCCUAUAAUCCCGGGAGGACCACCUGUGGCGAAGGCGCUCGGCUGGAACGCGUCCGACGGUGAGGGACGAAGGCCAGGGGAGCAAACCGGAUUAGAUACCCGGGUAGUCCUGGCUGUAAACGAUGCGGACUUUGUGUCGGACAAGCUAUGAGCUUGUCCGGUGCCGGAGGGAAACCGUUAAGUCCGCCGCCUGGGGAGUACGGCCGCAAGGUUGAAACUUAAAGGAAUUGGCGGG
RNAcentral lists this ribosomal RNA (414 nucleotides) under uncultured microorganism. RNAcentral describes it as "bacterial SSU rRNA". It matches the Rfam family "Archaeal small subunit ribosomal RNA", at positions 459 to 872 of the family's 1478-position model. The record is from RNAcentral.